CCCGCCGGCCCGUGGACGCGCUUGGCGCUCGCCUCCGCAGGCUGGCCGGUCUCUUGGAGACCGACGCGGCGCCGGAGGAGGAGCCGGGCCCAGCCGAGGCGCAGCGCCCGUGCGCCCUGGGCGCGCCAGCCGGGCACCACCAGGACGCGGCGCUGGACCAACCUGAAUCCGCCUUUUCCCAACUCUGGUAGCAGGACAAUCUGUCUCCCGUUUCCCCUCCGAUUCUUGCUUGUGAAGAGAUGAUCUAGAUCGCGUUGCAGUCCAGCCAACAAAGGGGUGCAGCUUGUCCUGGGCACAGCAGAAACACCCGACCUCUUCGGCACGUUCUCUCCAUGGCAGCAGAUACAUUUGGUGGCCAUUUCAGCAGCACCCGACUGUAGGUGGCUCCCAUUUUCCGAGCAAGAAGCUGGGCCAGGUUGCAGGAUACAUUGCUAGCCGGAUGCUUCCCCUCUGGCCGGAAAAAGCUGGCAAGCAAAGUGGACGGUGUCUAGUUUUCUCUUUCCAGUUUCACGUUUUCCAGUCCCAGAAGACCAGGAAAUUGGGUGGGAUUACAAGGAGGGAAGCCACAUUGUAGGCCUGAAGCUGACGAGCAAGCUCCAAAAGGAAGGCCGGGUGCAGGGGUCUGGGACCCCCGGAAAGAGAAGGCCGAGAAGCCAAAGGACAGAUGAGGAAGUGCUGUCUUUUGUGUCAAGAGAAGCCUUCAGUUUCCCUUUGGAACAGGAAACAGGAAACUGGUCGUGUGGACCUUGUGAAUUUGGGAGGAUCAGGUGGGACCCUCCCAGUCCUCGGGGCCAGGAAGCCAGGAGAAUAUCGGUCUCCUCGGUUUUGCUGCUCAGGCCAAGCCUUUGAGAAGGAUUAUUCCCUGCCACAAGCACAACCCUCAGCGGGCAGCUCUGGCUGGCAGGGAGUCAUGGCGUUCUUGCCACACCGCCGUGUCUGAAGGGGUCUCCCUCCUGCCUCAGAACCAGGCUCUUCUCCAGGCCCCUGGCGCCUGCUAGCCAGCGGCAAGCUAGCCCUCACCCCGGGAAGCCUGCAGAGAUGAGCGGCCGGCCCCCCCUGGCAGAAAAGGCGCUCUCGGAGCGAUACGCCCGCCUCCGGUACAGAGACGCUUCGCUGCUGAUCUGGCAGCAGCAGCAGCAGAAACUGGAGACGUUGGGCCCAGGGUCGUACCUCAGCAGGAGCCACAGCAUGUGGUACACACAGUACGGCAACCAGGCCAUCCUGGUGCGGGAGAAAAACAAGCUGGACAUCUCCAGGGAUACGGGGCAGUCCAAAUUUUGCACCGUGAUGUAGCCUCGGUGCCAAGGGAGAGGCAGCCGGCACGGGACGGCCACCCCCACCGCUUUCCAAAAUGUCCUGCCGACGGUUUGGUUGUGUUUACUUUUUCUGGAGGACCCUGAAGAUGUACCUGUUUCCCCAGGCCUUCAACUGAGAACACAAUGUUUGAAUUUUGAUGUGUUUUUAUUAUGAUUUUCUCUUCAUGAAUUUUAAAUGUCUUAUAGCUUAUAUUAGGUUUUAAUUCUGUACACCGCCUAGAGAUUUCGAUAUUGGGCAGUCUAUAAAUUCGACAGACAGACAGAGAGAUAAGGAAAGCAAGCUUCUGGCCCCCAGAUCUGCAGAACAGGCAACUUCCAGGCUUGGAAACCAACACUAUGGCGAACGUCCUCUGCUCAGCAGGGCAUGAAUGUACAGAGAGCUGCGUAACAGCUGUGUGCAGCGAGCUGGAGCAUCUUUGGGCUCCCGGUCCAAAGACGCAGAGUGCAGCACUGGAAAUCCGCAGAAUUCAGCUUCCUGGGAUGUCGUAGUUUGUCACAGCCCUCAUCUGCUUUCCACUGAGUCAGACAACUAGUCCGGCGUGGCAUCGUGGUUCAAAUGCUGGGCUGUAAGUGGAGUGUGUGUGUGUGUGUGUGUGUGCUUGAAAAAGCAAAGCCUUCAAUUACUACUCUAAGUGCUGCUGCUUUACUAUUUGAUCGCUGUUCUGAAGUUGUAAGAGAAUGCCGCCUUCUUCAUCAACCCCACCGCUUAUUAAGAUUUAUUUUAUUUUAUUUUUAUUUAUUUUACAUUUUCUAUCCCGCUCUUCCUCCAAGAAGCCCAGAGCGGUGUACUACAUACUUGUGUUUCUCUUUCACAACAACCCUGUGAGGUAGGUGAGGCUGAGAGAGAAGCGACUGGCCCAGAGUCACCCAGCAAGUCUCAUGGCUGAAGGGGGAUUUGAACUCGGGUCCUAGUCCAGCACUCUAACCACUACACCACGCUGGCUCAGACCAUCUGAGGAGGUUUGGUUGUGGCUGCCACCGGCUCAGUUGGUGGCGACUCGAAACCGGGCCUUUUCUAGAGUUGUACCAGGACUCCGGAACACCCUUCCUAACAAAAUUAGUUUUUCCCCUGCUCUGAAUGUUUUUAAGAAGGACCUGGAAAUAUAUCUCUUUAAGUCAGGCUUUUAGUUUAUGGUUUUAAAGCUUCGGGUUUUAAUUUUUUCCAUUUGUAUUUUUAAAUGGUUUUGGUUGCGUCAAUGUUUUGGUGGUGUUUAGAUUGUGAACUGCCCAGGGACUUUUUUUUGUUUGGCGCGGUAUAUAGGGUUGCCAGAUUCUGACUUUCCAAAUCUGGGAGCCUAAUUUGCAUAGUAUGUAAGUAAAUGGGCUUGAAAACAAUUUCUGAGCAGAAGGGGGGCGGCACGUUUUGCUCCAGAACUUCGCUUCUGCAAGGACUGGAGCUUAGCUUUUUGUUGUUGUUGUUAAAUGAAAGCUGGAAUCUGGGCAAAUCCGGGUGGACUCAGCAAUCUGGGUGAAAGGCUUAAAAUCCGGGUGAAACUCGGAAUUCCGGAGGGGGGGGGGCCUGGCAACUCUUGGGGUUAUAGAAAUGUGAGAAAUAAAAAAUAAAUAAAACAAUAUGCACAUGCUGCAUGGCCUAGGUGUUGAGUGUUGGGCGUAAUAAAAGCCACAUGCAAAGCCUUGAGCUUAA
Molecule: RNA transcript, 2961 nt
Organism: Hemicordylus capensis (graceful crag lizard)
Lineage: Eukaryota; Metazoa; Chordata; Lepidosauria; Squamata; Cordylidae
Gene: BRD3OS
Gene name: BRD3 opposite strand
Exons: 3
Source: RefSeq, a predicted model, not a curated record